Small nuclear RNA from Loxodonta africana (African savanna elephant), 106 nucleotides. The record is from Ensembl. Lineage: Eukaryota; Metazoa; Chordata; Mammalia; Proboscidea; Elephantidae.
AUGCUCCUUCGGCAGCACAUAUACUGAAAUUGGAAUGAUACAGAGAAGAUCAGCGUGGCCCUUGUGCAAGGAUUACAUGCAAAUUCAUGAAGUGUUCCAUAUUUUU